UCUUAUCACUUCAGGUACCUAAGGGGAAGGAAGAUCCCCAAAGCGGGAGAAGCAACGCCUGGUUGUGUCUACAGAGGUAGACCAUUGAUGACCUCUCUUCUCUGUCCUUCCUAAAACAUAAGUCUCCAGAUCUCCUCUGAUCUAUGAAAUGUCAAAGGAGUUGAACAGCCAUCCCCAACAGAGAUCAAAGGAAUGAGUGUGCAUAAAUUCUGAGUGUAUCUAACUAGAAAUGUGUUUGUAGAUCUUGUUAUAGCUUGUUUCAAUAUCUCAAUUUAUUUUCUUUCUUUUGUUGUUGUUUUAAUACUUUAAGUUCUGGAAUACAUGUGCAGAAUGUGCAGGUUUGUUACAUAGGUAUACAUGUGCCAUGGUGGUUUGCCGCACCCAUCAACCCGUCAUCUACAUUAGGUAUUUCUCCUAAUACUAUCCCUCCCAUUGCCCUCCACCCCACAACAGGCCAUGGUGUGUGAUGUUCCCCUCCCUGUGUCCAUGUGUUCCCAUUGUUCAACUACCACUUAUGAGUGAGAACAUUUGGUGUUUGGUUUUCUGUUCCUGUGUUAGUAUGCUGAGAAUGAUGGUUUCCAGCUUCAUCCAUGUCCUUGCAAAGGACAUAAACUCACUCUUUUUUAUGGUUGCAUAGUAUUCCAUGGUGUAUAUGUGCCACAUUUUCUUUAUCCAGUCUAUCAUAGAUGGGCAUUUUGGUUGAUUCCAAGUCUUUGCUAUUGUGAAUAGUGCUGCAAUAAACAUAUGUGUGCAUGUGUCUUUAUAGUAAAAUAAUUUAUAAUCCUUUUGGUAUGUAUCCAGUAAUGAAAUUGCUGGGUCAAAUGGUAUUUCUGGUUCUAGAUCCUUGAGGAAUUGCCACACUGUCUUCUACAAUGGUUGAACUAAUUUACACUCCCAUCUACAGUGUAAAAGCAUUCCCAUUUCUCCACAUCCUCUCCAGCAUCUUUUUUUUCCUGACUUUUUAAUAAUCGCCAUUCUAACUGGAGUGAGAUGGUAUCUCAUUGCGAUUUUGAUUUGCAUUUCUCUAAUGACCAGCGAUGAUGAGCUUUUUUGCAUAUGUUUGUUGGACACGUAAAUGUCUUCUUUUGAGAAGUGUCUGUUCAUAUGCUUCGUCCACUUUUUGAUGGGGUUGUUUGUUUUUUUCUUGCAAAUUUGUUUAAGUUCCUUGUAGGUUCUGGAUAUUAGUCCUUUGUCAGAUGGAUAGAUUGCAAAAAUUUUCUCCCAUUCUGUAGGUUGCCUGUUAACUCUGAUGAUAGUUUCUUUUGCUGUGCAGAAGCUCUUUUGUUUAAUUAGAUCCAACUUGUCAAUUUUGGCUUUUGUUGCCAUUGCUUUUAGAGUUUUAGUCAUGAAGUCUUUGCCCAUGCCUAUGUCCUGAGUGGUGUUGUCCAGGUUUUCUGCUAGGGUUUUUAUGGUUUCAGGUCUUACAUAUAUGCCUUUAAUCCAUUUUGAGUUAAUUUUUGUAUAAGGUGUAAGGAAGGGGUCCAGUUUCAGUUUUCUGCAUAUGGCUAGCCAGUUUUCCCAACACCAUUUAUUAAAUAGGGAAUCCUUUCCCCAUUGCCUGUUUUUGUCAGGUUUGUCAAAGAUCAGAUGAUUGUGGAUGUGCAGAAUUAUUUCUGAGGCCUCUAUUCUUUUCCGUUGGUCUAUAUAUCUGUUUUGUUACCAGUACAAUGCUGUUGUGGUUACUGUAGCCUUGUAGUAUACUAUGAAGUCAGGUAGCAUGAUGCCCCCAGAUUUGUUCUUUUUGCUUAGGAUUGUCUUGGCUAUAUGGACUCUUUUUUGGUUCCAUAUGAAAUUUAGAGUAGUUUUUUUCUAAUGCUGUGAAGAAAGUCAAUGGUAGCUUGAUGGGGAUAGCAUUGAAUCUAUAAAUUACUUUGGGCAGUAUGGCCAUUUUCAUGAUAUUGAUUCUUCCUAUCCAUGAGCAUGAAAUGCUUUUCCAUUUGUUUGUGUCCUCUCUUAUUUCCUUGAGCAGUGGUUUGUAGUUCUCAUUGAAAAGGUCCUUCACAUCCCUUGUAAGUUGUAUUCCUAGGUAUUUUAUUCUCUCUUUAGCAAUUGUGAAUGGGAGUUCACUCAUGCUUAGAUUCCCACACAAUAAUAGUGGGAGACUUUAACACCCCACUGUCCAUAUUAGACAGAUCAAUGAGACAGAAAAUUAACAAGGAUAUUCAGGACUUGAACUCAGCUCAGACCAAGUGGACCUAAUAGACAUCUACAGAACUCUCCACCCCAAACCAACGGAAUGUACAUUUUUCUCAGCACCACAUAGCAGUUAUACUAAACUUGACCAAAUAAUUGCAAGUAAAACACUCCUAGGCAAUUGCAAAAGAACAGAAAUUAUAACAAACAGUCUCUCAGACCACAGUGCAAUCAAAUUAGAACUCAGGAUUAAGAAAUUCACUCAAAACUGCACAACUACAUGGAAACUAAACAACCUGCUCCUGAAUGACUACUGGGUAAAUAACAAAAUUAUGGCAGAGAUAAGUAAGUUCUUUGAAACCAAUGAGAACAAGGACACAAUGUAGCAGAAUCUCUGGAACAAAGCUAAAACAGUGUUUAGAGGGAAAUUUAUAGCACUAAAUGCCCACAUGAGAAAGUGGGAAAGAUCUAAAAUGGACACCCUAACAUCACAGUUAAAAUAACUAGAGAAGCAAGAGCAAACAAAUUCAAAAGUUAGCAGAAGACAAGAAAUAACUAAGAUUAGAGCAGAACUGAAGGAGAUAGAGACAUAAAAAACCUUUCAAAACAUCAAUGAAUCCAGGAGCCAGUUUUUUCAAAAGAUUAACAAAAUAGAUAGACCACAAGCCAGACUAAUAAAGAAGAAAAGGGAGAAGAAUCAAAUAGACACAAUAAAAAAUGAAAAAGGGGAUAUCACCACUGAUCCCACAGAAAUACAAACUACCAUCAGAGAAUACCAUAAACACCUCUACGCAAAUAACCUAGAAAAUCUAGAAGAAAUGGAUAAAUUCCUGGAUACAUACACCCUCCCAAGACUAAGCCAGGAAAGAGUAGAAUGCCUGAAUAGAUCAAUAACAAGUUCUGAAAUUGAGGCAGUAAUUAAUAGCCUACAACCAAAAAUUCCCAGGACCAGACAGAUUCACAGCCGAAUUCUUUGUACCAGAGGUACAAACAGGAGCUGGUAACAUUCCUUCUGAAACUAUUCCAAACAAUACAAAAAGUGGGACUCCUCCCUAACUCAUUUUAUGCGGCCAGCAUCAUCCUGAUACCAAAACCUGGCAGAGACACAACAAAAAAAGAAAAUUUCAGGCCAAUAUAACUGAUGAACAUCGAUGUGAAAAUCCUCAAUAAAAUACUGGCAAACUGAAUCCAGCAACACAUUAAAAAGCUUAUCCACCAUGAUCAAAUUGGCUUCAUCCGUGGGAUGCAAGGCUGGUUCACCAUACACAAAUCAAUAAACAUAAUCCUUCACAUAAACAGAACCAAUGACAAAAAACACAUGAUUAUAUCAAUAGAUGCAGAAAAGGCCUUCGAUAAAAUUCAAUACCCCUUCAUACUAAAAACACUCAAUAAACUAGGUAUUGAUGGAAUGUAUCUCAAAAUAAUAAGAGCUAUUUAUGACAAACCUACAGCCAAUAUUAUACUGAAUGGGCAAAACUGGAAGCAUUCCCUUUGAAAACGAGCACAAGACAAGGAUGCCCUCUCUCACUACUCCUAUUCAGAAUAGUGUUGGAAGUUCUGGCCAGGGCAAUCAGGCAAGAGAAAGAAAUAAAGCAUAUUCAAAUAGGAAGAGAGGAAGUCAAAUUGUCUCUGUUUGCAGAUGACAUGAUUUAGAAUACCCCAUCAUCUCAGCCCCAAAACUCCUUAAGCUGAUAACCAACUUCAACAAGGUCUCAGGAUACAAAAUCAAUGUGCAAAAAUCACAAGCAUUCCUAUAUAUCAAUUUAUUUUCAAUAAUUAUUCUCACAUUUGGUUUAAGUUUCCAGGUCCUUCUGUGUGGUUAACACCAUUUAUGGUCAUGUUGAUUGUUUUAAUCAGUACAUUUCACAAAGCGGUAUUCAUUGCUGAAAUUUAAUGCAUAACCACACCUCAUAUAUGAACUACUAUACUUCAUAUUUCUCUUAAUAACUCAUCUUACCUCCUGCUAUCCAGAAGGUCAAGAACUGCUUGGUAUUUAGAGGUAUCUUAACUCUUUCAGGUCACUAGAAAUGAGCAAUUUAUUAAAUGGAUUCUGAGUACUUGCUACGAGUUAAUGCGGUUUCAAAGAAGGGAUUUGUUGCUAUAUCACUCAAAGGAUCAGGUCAAAUAGCCUUUCUCCCUUCCAUUUUCUACAAUUGCUAAAGAUAUAAUUUGGGCUCCAUUUUAAACUAAAUCCUUGGAUAGGGAGGCAUCUGAGUCUGUCCAAACCAGCUCGCAAUGCGUUUAUGAGGCACAGGGUUAUGGCAGCCUACUCCUCAGGGUUAAGCUCUCAAGUUGGGAGAAAGCUUUCUCUAUCAGAGACCUGAAACUUUAAACUCUUUCUCCACUCAGAGACACCUCAUUCUCAAUAUUACAGCAUUUAGAAGAGGAUGCAGAAGUUAUUUUCACACUUAAGAACUCUCAGUCAGCCAAAGAGGCUAGUUGAAGGUCAUUCUUUUUGCUUCACUCUGAAUUUUAUGUACUUAAAUGGUAAGAAAUGUAUCUCCUUCCUCUUCUGUUUCCUUACUUUAAUAGAUUUCAGAGUUUUUCUUUGUGACAGAUAAGUAGCAAUAUCUGCACUAAGAAAAGAUCAAAUUUCUAUGCAAUUAUAUUUCUUUGCAAUUAGAAACGCCAUAGUAACCACAAUAUGAAUUUUUCUUUAUCUAUAAAUGUCUAAAUCAUUUAUAUUGGUUACAUUUACUUUCUUUUUACAGGUCUUUUUGUGUGAUUAACACCUUUUACGGGUUUGUCCAUUAAUUAAAUUAUUUGGCUUCAAUUAUUUUGUAUGCUAUUGUAGGUACUACCACAAGAUAACAUUUUAAUUUCUUGUAUUAGUAGCUUGUAAUAGAGCAGGAGAGUUACUCCAAUUCAGCAUCACAGGAGUGAGCAAGUUCAGGGACUGGGAUCCAACAGGGAAACAAAGCAGAGGUGGGUUAACUAUUAUCAAGACAAGCAAAAGAAUUGCUAGCAGUUUCAUGAGUGGGUUCUUAUGCCAAAAUCCUGCAGGGAUCUCUGAGCCAGACUGGAAAAAAAUCAUGAUGUCUUGCAUCUCAGUUGUCAGCCCUACAGUAAUAAAUUUUACCAAGGGAGAUUUCUCUUCCUCCUGCACCAGCCUUCCACACAGCUGAAACCAAAAUUCAGAGGAAAAUAACAGUAGGAGUACAGGGCAACAUGAAGUGGGAAGAAAAAUGGGGCAUAUUACAGGAAUAGCUUUAGGAACAGUUCAACGAUGCCCAACUUCAUGUUACCAACAUCAGGGGCUGCCUGCUGGAAUCAGCUGUUUUCCUCUGCACAUAUAUUUGCCCUCCACCUGAGCCAGGUGUUCUUCAUUACCAGUUCAUCCAGGCAGGCCAUGCUGGGAUUGUUUCAUGUAUUCACAGAUACUAUGUUUAAACCUCUGAGUUGUGGCCAAAAAGAAAAAGUCAAGCAAACACAUAAAAUCUGGUUUCACUUAUAAAGGUGCUUUCUUGUGUAGGAACAGGAUAUCUGCCCUCCUUAUUCAAUAUUUUCCUCUUAGUUCCUGCAGGUGUCCUAUGUUCUAGACUGCAUAACAGACCCAGGAGCAUGAGAAAUGGCCCUGUAGUGAGAUGUCAGAGCUAGUUUGGAGUUUCAGUUCCCACAUAAUUGGCUAACUGUAGUGAUAAUUGAUAGGGUUUUGAUCUGUGUCCCUACCCAAAUCUCACGUCAAAUUGUAAUCCCGUGUUGGAGGAGGGGCCUGGUGGGAGGUGACUGGAUCAUGGGGGCGGACUUCCCCCUUGCCGUUCUCAUGAUAGUGAGUAAGUUUUCAUGAGAUCUGGUUGUUUUAAAAUGCGUAGCACCUCCCCCUUCACUCUCUCAUUCUCCUUCUCUGGUCAUGUAAUACAUGCCUGCUUCCCCUUCACCUUCUGCCAUGAUUGUAAGCUUCCUGAGGCCUCCCCAGCCAUGCUUCCUGUACAGUCUGUGGAACUGUGAGUCAGUUAAAUCUCUUUUCUUUGUAAAUUACCCAGUCUCAGGUAGUUCUUUAUAGCAAUGCAAGAAUAGACUAAUACAAUAAUUAUGAUGGCGAACCCUCCAUAGUGGUAACCCCGUGCUGUGUGCUUUGCUUAAUUUAUCUCAAUUAAUCCUCACAACACUAGGUAGACUCAAUUAUAUCCCCAUUUACAUGGAUGAGGAACUAUAAAGCACAGAGAUCUUGAAUGUUCAAAAAGUAUUUCCUAGAUAUGGAUGAAUACAUUCAGCCAUGAUGAAUAUAUAUUGGGUACCUUGAUGUAGUCCCAGUCCUCAUGGAAAUUGUGUCUUAUUACAUAGCAAAGAAGGGCAGGAGGGAGGAAAUGAGUGAACAUGGAGUUCUGGAGGUAGGUGCAGGACUCAAAGGAGAGCAGGCACCAUUGCCCUAGGCAGAUUGAAUCGUGAAAUGAGUUGCAGUAUGAAGAAGCAUGACUUAAAGUUGGGGAAGUCAGAAGGGAAAAAAGGCAUUUUUAAAAGCAUGAGAUAGGUGAGCUCUGAUUCUCUAGUAAGGAUGUUUGAUCUCUGACCUGUUUUGUAAUACCUUCUGCCUGUGGGUGGCCCCAGGGUUAAUUGUGGCCAGAAGGGGCCCUGAAGCUUUUGGGCAAAUCCACCCUGGAAGAGAGACCAGGACCAAAGAUGCUGAAAAUAAUUCACGUUUCUGACAGAGUUUUUUUUUUUUUUUUUUUUUUUUUUUUUUUUUUUUUUUGCAUUUGGAACAUUCUACCUUGUUCUAUAUAUUCUGAAAUUCAUGUCCUUCUGGUUCUUUGGUUCUUGUCUGUCUCUUGCUUCUGGCCUAAUUUUUGUUUGUUUAUUUGUCCUUACGCUCUUUUCAUGUGCCAAGAUCUAGCUUAUAAAUUAGAAUUUGCCUAGUUAUUUUGCUAACUGGUGAUGACUCCUGCCUCUGCCUGGAUUCUUAUUAAAAACAAAACAAAAAAAAUCUGCGUUGAUGCUCUGCUUUGAUGAAUAGCCCCUGGGCCUCACCAGUAUUUACCUCCUCUCUCAAGCAGUUGGACUGAACAAUAUCUGCCAUUUUCUCCAGUUUUAGUUCCUGUAAUUAUAUUCUAUUAUAGAAUGAUUUCUAGGAUAACUUCUGUGAUUUGUAUUCCAUGUCUGCCUAAUCCAUUCACAUUGUUUAAGUAAUUCAGUGCUUUUUAACACAAGGCAGGUUGGAAAUGAAAAGAGACUUGUUCCUCAGGUACCUGAGAAAAAUAAAAGAUAGAAAGGGCUUCAAUUACUCAGCCCUGGCCAUUCUUUCUCCUUUGACACUAAGGUCAAGAUUCUCAUAGUCAUGGCAUUAUUCCUUUCAUGGUAGUGUGGUCCUGGCAACAUUCACCCCUGGGCUGCUCAGAUCUGUACCUCUUCUGCCUGAGGGAGAGACAGACUUAUAGGUCGGAAUCACAGGACACGAUUUUAACAAAAUGAAUGGAACUAAAACCACAGAAAUACAGCCCACAUCAUUUUCAUUUUACUCUUUCUAUCCUCUCUCUCUCUCACUUUCCAUCCACCAAAGAAAGCCUAUGCACACUGCUAGGACCCCUCUAGCUGCCACUGGAGUGGAUAACCUCUUCUAUUUCUCAUUGCCUUAAUUUCCUCUCGUUUCCAGCAGAGAAAGGAGAUUUCACAACUGGCUCUAAAUGCUUCUUUGUCUUACAUAGGAACAUACUUAAUAAAUACAGUUUAUUCCACUGGCAAUGUAUAAGUAGUUAGUUAUCUUUUGUUUCAUGACCUUUGUUAGUCACAUCAUACUCAACCAUAGAAGUGUGAUUAUAUCAGUGAGAAUUUUUGCUUCUGUUUUAAAGAUUCCAAAUACCUACUGUUUAGGUGUUGGUUAACCCUUUUUAUUUUUUUAUUUUUCACUUUUCUCAUCUUUAAAAUGGCGAUCAUAAUAGAACCUACUUCAAAUGGUUUUAAGAAAGACUAAAUAAGUUUACAUAUGUAAAGCACUUAGAAAAGUCUGGCACACAGUAACUUGUAGGUAUUAUUAUUAUUAUUAUUAUUGUUAUUUUCUCAUGCCAUCUCUCAAAGUUAUUUACAAACAAAUGGAAUUCUUGGCGGGUAGGGCCAAAUGUCUGACUAGAAGCAGCUAGUGUGUGCCUUCAAGGAGAGAAAAAAGAGUAGUAGGUAAAUACUAACUCUUCAACUGGAACAUCCAGAUGGACACAUUGCACUGGGAUUCAUCAAAAAACCAACUCCAUUCUUGGAGAACAGAGAGGAGCAGCGAGACAGGACAACUGCCCUCCUGGGAGUAGCAGGAGACAGGGGAGCCCCUGCCCCCCACUGUGGGUAAAUGGUAAGUGAGUGGUUGUCCCUGGGGACUCACACUUCUGCCAUCAACUUUUGCAACGCUGGGCUCAGGAGAUCCCCAUGAGUCUCCUCAGUAAGGCCUCCAGACUGACCUGGAAAGCUACAUGAAUCUGGGCAGAACCACGGCCCAGGCAUAUGUGCAGUCCCAGGAGCCUUGGAUCCUUGGGCAUCCCGACAUUAGCAGCUGCAGCUCCGGCAAUGGGGAAGGUCAGGCUUCCUCAUACACCCCCAGGAAGGGGGCCAAGUCUACAGGGCUGAGCAGUGACAGACUGCAGGCCUCACCUCUACUGCACCUCGCAGGAUAAGGCCCACUGGCCUGGGACCCUAGCAUGGCCACACCAGGCAUGCCUGUGCUCUGGGGCAAGUAGCAGCUCUGCAUUUUCCUGGGAUGGUGCUCCCAGAGGAAGAGGCAGCCCCCAUUUCUGCUGCCUCACAGCCCUCACUCCUGUUGCCCUCAG
Molecule: long non-coding RNA, 8879 nt
Filed under: Homo sapiens (human)
Lineage: Eukaryota; Metazoa; Chordata; Mammalia; Primates; Hominidae
Description: HSALNT0009363
Source: RNAcentral